Molecule: ribosomal RNA, 253 nt
Filed under: uncultured bacterium
Lineage: Bacteria
Description: partial 16S ribosomal RNA
Rfam family: Bacterial small subunit ribosomal RNA
Source: RNAcentral
UACAGAGGGUGCAAGCGUUAAUCGGAAUUACUGGGCGUAAAGCGUGCGUAGACGGUUAUGUAAGUCGGGGGUGAAAGCCCCGGGCUCAACCUGGGAAUUGCAUUCGAGACUGCAUAGCUAGGGUGCGGAAGAGGGAAGCGGAAUUUCCGGUGUAGCGGUGAAAUGCGUAGAUAUCGGAAGGAACACCAGUGGCGAAAGCGGCUUCCUGGUCCAGCACCGACGUUCAGGCACGAAAGCGUGGGGAGCAAACAGG